This is a non-coding RNA of Cinara cedri, 248 nucleotides long. Lineage: Eukaryota; Metazoa; Arthropoda; Insecta; Hemiptera; Aphididae. The record is from the annotation of a GenBank genome assembly.
CUAGCUCAGUGGUCACCACUAAGAUUCUGAUAAGGGCCAAGUAUAAUUUUUGAAAAUUACUUGCUGCUCGCUUAUAGUAAAUUAAUUCGAAUUUUUAUUGUAAUAUUGACCUGAAAGAAAAAUGUCUUUGUAAGUGUAAUUUUUUUUAUUAUAUACAUUUUUGCUCGUACCUACCUAAUUAUCUGCCAAACUGGUAAUUCAGUUAAAGUUAAAAAUCGACAGAUAAAAUAAACAAGAAUAAUGAGAAA